This 460-nucleotide ribosomal RNA is filed under the name uncultured bacterium. RNAcentral describes it as "partial 16S ribosomal RNA". It matches the Rfam family "Bacterial small subunit ribosomal RNA", at positions 338 to 795 of the family's 1533-position model. The record is from RNAcentral.
CCUACGGGUGGCUGCAGUGAGGAAUAUUGGUCAAUGGACGAGAGUCUGAACCAGCCAAGUAGCGUGAAGGAUGACUGCCCUAUGGGUUGUAAACUUCUUUUAUAUGAGAAUAAACGGAUCCACGUGUGGCUUUUUGUAUGUACCAUAUGAAUAAGGAUCGGCUAACUCCGUGCCAGCAGCCGCGGUCAUACGGAGGAUCCGAGCGUUAUCCGGAUUUAUUGGGUUUAAAGGGAGCGUAGGUGGAUUGUUAAGUCAGUUGUGAAAGUUUGCGGCUCAACCGUAGAAUUGCAGUUGAAACUGGCAGUCUUGAGUACAGUUGAGGUGGGCGGAAUUCGUGGUGUAGCGGUGAAAUGCUUAGAGAUCACGAAGAACUCCGAUUGCGAAGGCAGCUCACUGAACUGCAACUGACACUGAGGCUCGAAAGUGUGGGUAGCAAACAGGAUUAGAUACCCGAGUAGUC